CCGGGCCUUGUACACACCGAUGACCGGAACUUAACCGUUCCUUCUCUUCGGAGCAUUGGAGACAGGUGGUGCAUGGUUGUCGUCAGCUCGUGUCGUGAGAUGUUGGGUUAAGUCCCGCAACGAGCGCAACCCUUAUCUUUAGUGGCCAGCAGUAAGAUGGGCACUCUAGAGAGACUGCCGGGGAUAACCCGGAGGAAGGUGGGGAUGACGUCAAAUCAUCAUGCCCCUUAUGACCAGGGCUACACACGUGCUACAAUGGCGUAAACAGAGGGAAGCGAGAUGGAGACAUGGAGCAAAUCCCAAAAAUAACGUCCCAGUUCGGAUUGUAGUCUGCAACCCGACUACAUGAAGCUGGAAUCGCUAGUAAUCGCGGAUCAGAAAUCCGUGCGCUCUACUGUGGUAAGGUUUUUCGCGUUCC
RNAcentral lists this ribosomal RNA (418 nucleotides) under uncultured bacterium. RNAcentral's name for it is "bacterial SSU rRNA". It matches the Rfam family "Bacterial small subunit ribosomal RNA", at positions 974 to 1363 of the family's 1533-position model. The record is from RNAcentral.